Molecule: transfer RNA, 72 nt
Filed under: Alphaproteobacteria bacterium
Lineage: Bacteria; Pseudomonadati; Pseudomonadota; Alphaproteobacteria
Description: tRNA-Gln
Rfam family: tRNA
About the family: Transfer RNA (tRNA) molecules are approximately 80 nucleotides in length. Their secondary structure includes four short double-helical elements and three loops (D, anti-codon, and T loops). Further hydrogen bonds mediate the characteristic L-shaped molecular structure. tRNAs have two regions of fundamental functional importance: the anti-codon, which is responsible for specific mRNA codon recognition, and the 3' end, to which the tRNAs corresponding amino acid is attached (by aminoacyl-tRNA synthetases). tRNAs cope with the degeneracy of the genetic code in two manners: having more than one tRNA (with a specific anti-codon) for a particular amino acid; and 'wobble' base-pairing, i.e. permitting non-standard base-pairing at the 3rd anti-codon position.
Source: RNAcentral
AGCCUUAUGGUGUAGUGGCAAGCAUACGGGCCUCUGGAGCCCGAGACCGCAGUUCGACUCUGCGUAGGGCUA